GACGAACGCUGGCGGCGUGCUUAACACAUGCAAGUCGAACGGAAAGGCCCUGCUUUUGUGGGGUGCUCGAGUGGCGAACGGGUGAGUAACACGUGAGUAACCUGCCCUUGACUUUGGGAUAACUUCAGGAAACUGGGGCUAAUACCGGAUAGGAGCUCCUGCUGCAUGGGGGGGGUUGGAAAGUUUCGGCGGUUGGGGAUGGACUCGCGGCUUAUCAGCUUGUUGGUGGGGUAGUGGCUUACCAAGGCUUUGACGGGUAGCCGGCCUGAGAGGGUGACCGGCCACAUUGGGACUGAGAUACGGCCCAGACUCCUACGGGAGGCAGCAGUGGGGAAUAUUGCACAAUGGGCGGAAGCCUGAUGCAGCAACGCCGCGUGCGGGAUGACGGCCUUCGUGUUGUAAACCGCUUUCGCCUGUGACGAAGCGUGAGUGACGGUAAUGGGUAAAGAAGCACCGGCUAACUACGUG
Molecule: ribosomal RNA, 468 nt
Filed under: uncultured bacterium
Lineage: Bacteria
Description: partial 16S ribosomal RNA
Rfam family: Bacterial small subunit ribosomal RNA
Source: RNAcentral